CCUACGGGUGGCAGCAGUCGAGAAUCAUUCACAAUGGGGGAAACCCUGAUGGUGCGACGCCGCGUGGGGGAAUGAAGGUCUUCGGAUUGUAAACCCCUGUCAUGUGGGAGCAAAUUAAAAAGAUAGUACCACAAGAGGAAGAGACGGCUAACUCUGUGCCAGCAGCCGCGGUAAUACAGAGGUCUCAAGCGUUGUUCGGAAUCACUGGGCGUAAAGCGUGCGUAGGCUGUUUCGUAAGUCGUGUGUGAAAGGCGCGGGCUCAACCCCGUCGAGCCGUUGAAACUGGCAGACUUGAGUUGGCGAGAAGUACGCGGAAUGCGCGGUGUAGCGGUGAAAUGCAUAGAUAUCGCGCAGAACUCCGAUUGCGAAGGCAGCGUACCGGCGCCAGACUGACGCUGAGGCACGAAAGCGUGGGGAUCGAACAGGAUUAGAUACCCCAGUAGUC
This 445-nucleotide ribosomal RNA is filed under the name uncultured bacterium. Its description in RNAcentral is "partial 16S ribosomal RNA". It matches the Rfam family "Bacterial small subunit ribosomal RNA", at positions 338 to 795 of the family's 1533-position model. The record is from RNAcentral.